GUGGGGAAUAUUGGGCAAUGGGGGCAACCCUGACCCAGCGACGCCGCGUGGGUGAAGAAAUCCCUCGGGAUGUAAAGCCCUGUUGUAUGGGAAGAGCAGAAGACGGUACCAUACGAGGAAGCCCCGACAAACUACGUGCCAGCAGCCGCGGUAAUACGUAGGGGGCAAGCGUUGUCCGGAAUUACUGGGCGUAAAGCGCACGCAGGCUGAAUUAUAAGUCGGUAGUCAAAUACGGAGGCUCAACUUCCGGAUAUCUAUCGAUACUGUAAAUCUAGAGUAUGUGAGAGGGAAGCGGAAUUCCCGGUGUAGCGGUGAAAUGCGUAGAUAUUGGGAGGAACACCAGUGGCGAAGGCGCCUUUCUGGACUGUGUCUGACGCUGAGAUGCGAAAGCCAGGGUAGCAAACGGGAUUAGAAACCCUAGUAGUCC
RNAcentral lists this ribosomal RNA (427 nucleotides) under uncultured bacterium. RNAcentral describes it as "partial 16S ribosomal RNA". It matches the Rfam family "Bacterial small subunit ribosomal RNA", at positions 354 to 796 of the family's 1533-position model. The record is from RNAcentral.